Molecule: non-coding RNA, 39 nt
Filed under: Trypanosoma brucei brucei
Lineage: Eukaryota; Euglenozoa; Kinetoplastea; Trypanosomatida; Trypanosomatidae
Source: RNAcentral
AAACUCACAACACAAAAAUAUAAUAUAAAUAUAGAUUGU